Molecule: transfer RNA, 75 nt
Filed under: Faecalibacterium prausnitzii
Lineage: Bacteria; Bacillati; Bacillota; Clostridia; Eubacteriales; Oscillospiraceae
Description: tRNA-Ala(cgc)
Rfam family: tRNA
About the family: Transfer RNA (tRNA) molecules are approximately 80 nucleotides in length. Their secondary structure includes four short double-helical elements and three loops (D, anti-codon, and T loops).
Source: RNAcentral
UGGGCUCGUAGCUCAGUUGGGAGAGCGUUCGGUUCGCAUCCGAAAGGUCGAGGGUUCGACUCCCUUCGAGUCCAU